RNAcentral lists this ribosomal RNA (198 nucleotides) under uncultured bacterium. RNAcentral's name for it is "partial 16S ribosomal RNA". It matches the Rfam family "Bacterial small subunit ribosomal RNA", at positions 1303 to 1500 of the family's 1533-position model. The record is from RNAcentral.
GGCUGAAACUCGCCUACAUGAAGCUGGAAUCGCUAGUAAUCGCGGAUCAGAAUGCCGCGGUGAAUACGUUCCCGGGUCUUGUACACACCGCCCGUCACACCAUGGGAGUCGGAAAUGCCCGAAGUCUGUGACCCAACCGCGAGGAGGGAGCAGCCGAAGGCAGGUCGGAUGACUGGGGUGAAGUCGUAACAAGGUAUC